Eurytemora carolleeae is the source of this 270-nucleotide long non-coding RNA. RefSeq lists it as uncharacterized. The transcript is spliced from 3 exons. The record is from RefSeq and is a predicted model, not a curated record. Lineage: Eukaryota; Metazoa; Arthropoda; Copepoda; Calanoida; Temoridae.
UAUGUGUACACGUAGAGUGAAGAAUACAAUUAGUGAAAAUGAUAACAUAUAUUCUUAUUUCUAUUCUUAUUCUUCUUUUCAUCAACAAAUAUAUGUUCAAGCCUAAAGGUUUUCCACCUGGCCCUGGCAGAAUACCUCUUUUUGGUUCCUUGCUCUUCAUACCAUUGAUUCCUGGUGUGUUUUCAAUGGGAGCAGAUUGGUUCAUCACAAGAUACGGAAAAUUGGUAAUUUUAAAUCUUUAAGAAUUUAAUAAGUUAAAAUGGUCAAAAU